RNAcentral lists this ribosomal RNA (253 nucleotides) under uncultured prokaryote. RNAcentral's name for it is "partial 16S ribosomal RNA". It matches the Rfam family "Bacterial small subunit ribosomal RNA", at positions 524 to 776 of the family's 1533-position model. The record is from RNAcentral.
UACGAGGGGUGCGAGCGUUAUUCGGAAUUAUUGGGCGUAAAGGGUGUGUAGGCGGUCUUUUAAGUCACUUGUGAAAUCCUUCGGCUCAACUGGAGGCUAGCGAGUGAAACUGAUCGACUUGAGGGUGGAAGAGAGAAGUGGAAUUCUCGGAGUAGCGGUAAAAUGCGUAGAUCUCGAGAGGAACACCAAUGGCGAAGGCAGCUUCUUGGUCCAUACCUGACGUUGAGGCACGAAAGCGUGGGGAGCAAACAGG